RNAcentral lists this ribosomal RNA (253 nucleotides) under uncultured bacterium. Its description in RNAcentral is "partial 16S ribosomal RNA". It matches the Rfam family "Bacterial small subunit ribosomal RNA", at positions 524 to 776 of the family's 1533-position model. The record is from RNAcentral.
UACGGGGGGGGUAAGCGUUGUUCGGAAUUACUGGGCGUAAAGGGCUCGUAGGCGGCCAACUAAGUCAGACGUGAAAUCCCUCAGCUUAACUGGGGAACUGCGUCUGAUACUGGAUGGCUUGGAUUUGGGAGAGGGAUGCGGAAUUCCAGGUGUAGCGGUGAAAUGCGUAGAUAUCUGGAGGAACACCGGUGGCGAAGGCGGCAUCCUGGACCAACAUUGACGCUGAGGAGCGAAAGCUAGGGGAGCAAACGGG